RNAcentral lists this transfer RNA (73 nucleotides) under Candidatus Zixiibacteriota bacterium. RNAcentral's name for it is "tRNA-Lys". It matches the Rfam family "tRNA". Rfam says of the family: Transfer RNA (tRNA) molecules are approximately 80 nucleotides in length. The record is from RNAcentral. RNAcentral also lists the same sequence under 1 other name. Lineage: Bacteria; Pseudomonadati; Candidatus Zixiibacteriota.
GGGUGCGUAGCUCAGUUGGUAGAGCAACAGACUUUUAAUCUGUGGGUCGAAGGUUCGAUUCCUUCCGCACUCA